GCCUGUCUUUCGCAUUGUCAUUAUACCUAGUUAUUAUUAGUGAUGCGUCAAUAAUUGGCCGUGCAUACUGUAUUGUUUUUUGUCUUGUUUCAUGUGAAAUAAAAGUAAUGAUAAUGUUGCGAAGUUGUUUGUCGCUCCUGAAUGGGCCGGCCAGGGCUCCUAGCCGCACCUUGGUGCCGGCGAGGAAGUGGAACCAGUGCACCUUGUACAUCAGCUUGCCGCCGCGGAACCCGCACACGCUUGGAGAGUCGCUGGCGCACGGCGCGUUCAUGAUGGUGGUUUGGAUCGCGCCCACGCUCAUACUCAUGUCACAGAUCAAGAUCUGGAGACGCAAAUAUGGCUCAAUGCCGCUAGCCUGAAAACUAAAUAUGCGUGUAUGUCAAAAAUAAAUAAAGUUUAAUUCUU
Molecule: long non-coding RNA, 405 nt
Organism: Cydia splendana
Lineage: Eukaryota; Metazoa; Arthropoda; Insecta; Lepidoptera; Tortricidae
Exons: 2
Source: RefSeq, a predicted model, not a curated record